UGGGGAAUAUUGCACAAUGGGGGGAACCCUGAUGCAGCGACGCCGCGUGAGCGAAGAAGUAUUUCGGUAUGUAAAGCUCUAUCAGCAGGGAAGAAGAAAGACGGUACCUGACUAAGAAGCCCCGGCUAACUACGUGCCAGCAGCCGCGGUAAUACGUAGGGGGCAAGCGUUAUCCGGAUUUACUGGGUGUAAAGGGAGCGUAGACGGCUGUGCAAGUCUGAAGUGAAAGCCCGUGGCUCAACCGCGGAACUGCUUUGGAAACUGUAUAGCUUGAGUACUGGAGAGGCAGGCGGAAUUCCUAGUGUAGCGGUGAAAUGCGUAGAUAUUAGGAGGAACACCGGUGGCGAAGGCGGCCUGCUGGACUGUGACUGACGUUGAGGCCCGAAGGCGUGGGGAGCAAACAGG
Molecule: ribosomal RNA, 405 nt
Filed under: uncultured bacterium
Lineage: Bacteria
Description: bacterial SSU rRNA
Rfam family: Bacterial small subunit ribosomal RNA
Source: RNAcentral